This 481-nucleotide ribosomal RNA is filed under the name uncultured bacterium. RNAcentral's name for it is "partial 16S ribosomal RNA". It matches the Rfam family "Bacterial small subunit ribosomal RNA", at positions 29 to 507 of the family's 1533-position model. The record is from RNAcentral.
ACGAACGCUGGCGGCGUGCUUCACACAUGCCAGUCGCACGCUGAAGCUCAGCUUGCUGGGUGGAUGAGUGGCGAACGGGUGAGUAACACGUGAGUAACCUGCCCUCUUCUUUGGGAUAACGCCCGGAAACGGGUGCUAAUACUGGAUAUUCACUGAUUCUCGCAUGGGGGUUGGUGGAAAGGUUUUUUCUGGUGGGGGAUGGGCUCGCGGCCUAUCAGCUUGUUGGUGGGGUGAUGGCCUACCAAGGCUUUGACGGGUAGCCGGCCUGAGAGGGUGACCGGUCACAUUGGGACUGAGAUACGGCCCAGACUCCUACGGGAGGCAGCAGUGGGGAAUAUUGCACAAUGGGCGAAAGCCUGAUGCAGCGACGCCGCGUGAGGGAUGGAGGCCUUCGGGUUGUAAACCUCUUUCGCUCAUGGUCAAGCCGCAGCUUUGGGUUGUGGUGAGGGUAGUGGGUAAAGAAGCGCCGGCUAACUACGUG